Molecule: long non-coding RNA, 2763 nt
Filed under: Mus musculus (house mouse)
Lineage: Eukaryota; Metazoa; Chordata; Mammalia; Rodentia; Muridae
Description: long non-coding RNA chr16:45234594-45237357
Source: RNAcentral
GGAUGAAAGUGCCACGACGUACUUAAUAAAAAGCGAUCUUCACUUGUGUUGCUUAUUGUGUGUCUCCAGCUGAGGGAAUCCAAUCCAGUAAUUUCUAGAUACCUUAGACAUACAAGUUAUGUGAUGUGACUGAUGCCCAGUGGCUUCUAACAUUGUUAUGAGCAUGCCUUUCCCCCCAGUCCUCUUAAGGGUGGAUCUCCAAAGGGACAAUGCAGUCCUUCAGUUGUGAGAAUGAACUCUUACAGGAGACUGCACCUGAGCAACCCAACCUUGAGCCUUUGAAGCCAGUCUCUCUUUUGAAGUAGCAAUGCUGGUAGAAUCUUUUGUAGACCAAAUUGCAUACUUGUUUCAAGAAAGGGGUGUGAUUAAACAUAAUUUUAAGUUUUAUACUUUUUUGUUGUUCAUAUAAUAUAAUUAUAGGUUAAUUAUCAAAUAAUAAUGACAUUGUAAAAGCUACGUGUAAAGUAAGGUAAAUUUGGCAUCUUAUAUUGUCUAUCUUUUCUGCUUAAAGAAAACCUGUUUUUCUUUUUUCUUUUCUUGAAGAUAGAAAGCUAUUUUUUAUUUAAAAUUUUUUUCAUACACUUUUUUUUUCUGAGAAGGAUUAGGGUAAGGAAAAGUAUAGUCAAUAUAUAUUAUUGACUACUUCCUCCCCUAGUCUGAACUCCAUCAUCGUUUCUUCCUCCUCUUUUUAAUGGGGAUAAGUAAACAAAAGUGUAAUUAAAAGUAAAAAAGAAAGUCAAAGAUUUAAACCUUGAGUGAAGUUCUGUGGGUUCAUGGAGAAAACCUGUUUUUCAUGUGUGUUGGCUUCAGGUUUACUUUAUGUGUUGCUAUUACAAGGUAAAGGAGAAUAAGUUAAUGAUAAGAAUAAUAAUUUGUAACUUAAUGAUAGUAGAGCUUAUUCAAUGACAUAGAAAAUUUAAAUGGCUUUUUAAUGUUAUAUGUUGAUUUUUGUUUGUAUUUGUUUUUUGUUUGUAUUUGUUUUUUGUUUGUUUUUGUUUGUUUUGGAUUUCUUUUUAAGACAGUGUCUUGCUAUAUAGCACAGGUUGGCCUGAAAAUUGCCAUGUGAUUCAGGCUGUCUUAAAAUGAGCAAUAAUCCGUCUGCUCCAGCCUCUGAAGUACUAGUAUUAGACAUAUGAACAACUACUCCUGACUUGUGCAGCUGUUUUUAUAAACUGUCGGCAGCUACCAACUCAAGGUUUAUAAGUCAUUGGGAUACACAUUUCCAGGAGAAAAGCUUGCUUCACCUAAACAAAAGGAGGUUUAUUUCCAAAAUUAUCUGUCUGGGAUGCAGAGAUUUCUGAAGAGGUCAGGUGCUGUUUCUCUUUCUGCUCUGUAAAGUAUACAAACAUAGGCUGUCAUCAAAGCAUAUCCUACCUUGUGAAAGUUACCCUAAUUAUAUCCUGAGGAUGGUCAUCCUCAGACAGAUUCAUAGAGAAUAUUGCAAGACAGUAUUAAGGCCAUCACUAAGAGAAUGCUUAUUAUAUAUACUACCAUAUCAUCUGAAAAUAAUGAUACUUUCUUUUUAAGAUUUAUUUAUUUAUUAUAUGUAAGUACACUGUAGUACAGAAGAGGGCAUCCCAUCUCAUUACAGAUGGUUGUGAGCCACAGUGUGGUUGCUGGGAUUUGAACUCAGGGCCUUCGGAAGAGCAGCCAAUGCUCUUAACCACUAAGCCAUCUCUCCAGCCCCAUAAUGAUACAUUCACUUCGUCCUUUCCAAUUUGUAUUCCCUUGAUCUCCUUCAGUUGUCUUAUUGUUCUUACCAAAACUUCAAGUACUAGAUUGAAUAGCUAUGGAGAGAGUGGACAGUCUUGUCUUGUUCCUGAUUUUAGUGGAAUGCUUUACCUUUCUCUUCCUUUAAUUGGAUGUUGGCUAUAGACUUGCUGUAAAUAGCCAGGCAAAGCUUCCAGUGGUGAGACUGGGACACAAUCCACCCACAAAACCUUCGACCUAUAAUCAACCUGUAUGCAAGAUGUACUAGGGCAAUAUCAGAACUUAAAGGAGUUCUGAUAUUAGUCUAACUUGAGGGGUUAGUUAACCAUACCAUGAGAGGGAGCCCAUCCUGCAUGGCCAGGAACUGGAGGCUAAAUAACCCAGAGAUAUAGGGUAGAAUAAUGAGCUACCCCCCAAAAAAACAAAACAAAACAAAUAAGACAAAUCAGUAAAUGAUUCUUAAUGAUAUUCUGCUAUUCUGAUCAGUGCCUAGCCCAAUUGUCAUGGGAGAGGCUUCAUCCAGCAGCUGAUAAGAGCAGAUGCAAAGACCCACAGUUCAACAUUUGGCAGAGCUUAGUGAUCUCCUUAGAAGAAGGAGAGGAAGGACUAUAGGAGCCAGAGGGGUCAAGGACGCCAGGAGAACAAUGACCUACAGAAUCAACUAAACAGGGCUCACAGAGAAUGAAGAGGAAAUCACCAGGCCUGCGUGGGUCUGUGCUAGGUCCUUUGCAUAUAUGUUAUGAUUGUUUAGCUCGGGGAUUUUUGUUGGGCUACUGGAAGUGAGGAUGUCUCUGACCCUUUUGCCUGCCCUUGGGGCCCAUUUUGUCUUAAGGAGUUGCCUCAUUCAGCCUUGAUAGAAGGGUUUGUUCUUAGUCUUAUUGUAUCUUGCUAUGCAUAUGGCCUGCUCCUUUCUGAAGGGAAGGGGAGGAGGAGUGAAUCUGGGGGUGAGGUAGGGGCGGGAGAAGGAAUGGAGGGAGGGGAAAAUGUGGUCAGGAUAUAGGAGAGAACAAUAAAGAAAAAAAAUUAAACAAUCAACUUCAAAUAAAACAAAGC